UGUCUAUUAAUUGUAGACCUGUAUGAAAGGCACAAUGAGGGCCUAACUGUCUCUUAUAAUAAAUCAAUUAAACUGAUCUUUUAGUACAAAAGCUAAAAUGUCAACAUAAGACCAGAAGACCCUGUGAAGCUUUAACUAACCUAUUAAACCCAAUAAUAGCUACUUUCGGUUGGGGCGACCUUGGAAAAAAAAGAAACUUCCAAACUAUGGCCAAAACCCACAAAAGGCCCACAAGCCAACAACGACCCAGCACAGCUGAUAAUUGAACCAAGUUACUCCAGGGAUAACAGCGCUAUCUUCUUCAAGAGCCCAUAUCAAAAAGAAGGUUUACGACCUCGAUGUUGGAUCAGGACAUCCUAAUGGUGUAGCAGCUAUUAAGGGUUCGUUUGUUCAACGAUUAAUANU
This 405-nucleotide ribosomal RNA is filed under the name Enhydris enhydris. RNAcentral's name for it is "partial 16S ribosomal RNA". It matches the Rfam family "Bacterial large subunit ribosomal RNA", at positions 1970 to 2594 of the family's 2925-position model. The record is from RNAcentral. Lineage: Eukaryota; Metazoa; Chordata; Lepidosauria; Squamata; Homalopsidae.